RNAcentral lists this long non-coding RNA (6006 nucleotides) under Sus scrofa (pig). RNAcentral's name for it is "lncRNA (ENSSSCG00035026064.1)". The record is from RNAcentral. Lineage: Eukaryota; Metazoa; Chordata; Mammalia; Artiodactyla; Suidae.
CAGCUCACGGCAACACCAGAUCGUUAACCCACUGAGCAAGGGCAGGGAUCGAACCUGAAACGUCAUGGUUCCUAGUCGGAUUCUUUAACCACUGCGCCACGACGGGAACUCCCGUUUGUUUUUUUUUUAAUGGCCACACCCAUGGUGUAUGGAAAUUCCCUGGCGAGGGGUGGAAUCAGAAGCUGCAGCUGCUGGCCUAUGCCACAGCCGUGGGAACACUGGAUCUGAGCUGCAUCCACAAGUUAUGCCUCAGCUUGUGACAAUGCUGGAUUCUCAACCCCCUGAGUGAGGCCAGGGAUCAAAUCCGAAUCCUCAAUGAGACAACAUUGGGUCCUUAACCCACUGAUCCACAAAGGGAAUUCCUACACUGUUUCUAUUAUUGCACAAUUCGAUGAAUAAAAUCUGACUUGUCAUGCUAUGUGGUGGUCUAUUUACAUUAACUUUCCCCCUCACUUGCCUGAACUCUUUAGAGAUGUUGAAAAGGAUUCUUGGGUAAAUGUCUGUAUUAUUUUUAUAUCCUUAACUGAGAAUAUAUUAGGCAUAUAUUAAACAUUCCAGGGACUUCCUGCUGUGGCUCAGCAGAAAGGAAUCCAACUCGUAUCCAUGAGGAUGGAGGUUUGAUCCCUGGCCACGCUCAGUGGGUUUCAGCAUUGCAGUAAGCUGCAGUGUAGGUCACAGACUUGACUUGAAUCCGGUGUUGCUGUGGCCCUAAAGGAGGCCGACAGCUACAGUGCUGAUUCCACUCCUAGCUUGGACCUUCCAUAUACCGUGCUGCGGCCCUUAAAAAUAAAAAUAAAAAUAAAAAAAUCCAAUUAAGUAUCUAAGUGAAUAAAUAAACUGGCUUUUAAACAUCUAUUAUCAAAGAAAAGAAAGUCACGGACUUGGAAAAUAGCUUGUGGUUGCCAAAGGGAAGGGGGAGGGAGCAGGAUGGACUGGGAAUUUGAGGUUAAUAGAUGCAGACUAUUGCCUUUGGAAGGGAUAAGCAAUGAGAUCCUGCUGUGUAGCACUGGGAACGCUAUCUAGUCACUUUUGAUGGAGCAUGAUCAUGUGAGAAAAAAGAAAUCUAUACAUGAAUGUGUAACUGGGUCAACAUGCUAUACAGCAGAAAUUGACAAAACACUGUAAACCAGCUAUAAUAAAAAAAUUAAAAUUAUUAUAUAUAUUAAAAAAAAUCUACUACCUACAGCACUGCUAUGCUAGUGAGUUACCACUUUUAGCCCUAUUUUACAGAUGGAAAACUGGACUUCAGGGAAGUUAAGUAACUUUCCCAGCUAGUGGUAAAAGGCAAAGCUGAUUCAGGUGCAGGUCUUUUAGACUCCCAGUGUUUUUCUAAAUAAACAAAAGAUUGAGUGAUUAUAUACAGACAUAUGCCUGGAUAUGUUUUCAUAUUUUCCUUAUAUGUAGUUCCCAUUAUAUGAAAUAAAAUAAAGAUUUAGGUUACGAUUGAGCUACCAUUUAUGAAACUAAAUAUUUGCUAUGUGAAGCCAAAUAUUUCUGAGCCUCAAUUUCUUCAUCUGUAAAAAGGCUUUGUUAUAUAUUACUCAUCAUAACAAUAUUAUUAUUAUUAGGUAUUGGUAUAAUAGUUUCUAGCCAUAAUACUCUAUGAUUGUGAAUUGGGUUCUUUGUGUUUGAUUAUACUGUUUCAGUAACUUAGUUCUGGGCACACUCAUGACGGUCUUUAAAAUUUAUUUGACUAUUUGCUACUGCAAUUAUGUCAAUUCUCAUUAAAAAUGUUUUGACUGAAUAAGGGCAUGAAGAUGACAACAAGGUCUCUCUCCUUAAUUUAAUCCUAGUUUAAAGUUUGCCAAUCAAAACUCAAAGAAGACAGUUGGAAACUGAUUUUUUAUCUUUAUAACUAGUCACACAUUUUCUAUUUUUGAAUUUAUCCUUGGUUGGUGGAGCUAAACCAUCACGACAGUUAUUAUCACUGUCAUAGUUGUUUUACUUCAGAUCUUCAAAUUAAUAAAUGCUGAGUUUAAUUAGCUGAAACUUAAAUUGUCAUUAUUAAUUUACUAGUUACAUUGCAAUACCUUGUAAAACAUUUAUGCUGCAGUAAAUGGAGCACCCAUUUUCCAAUGAUCAUGUGGCAUGGCUAAUUUACUACACAGCUAUUUAAUUUCUAACCUUAGCAGAGCUAUAGGUACUCGGCUAAAAUUAAAUUAAUUAUUUGCAACAAAAUGUUUAAUAAUGUCAUUGCUUCAAAUACUAUACAGUCUUAUCCAAGAAACAAUGGAAGUUCAGACAUUUGUAAGUAUUUCUGAAACAUUCUUAGAAUAGCCUUAACAAGUAAGUGCAACUACUGUAAAUUAUCAGUUGACUUUUUAGGACAGUCAAAUGGGGACAAUCUGAAAGUUUUUACAUUUAGACUAUUCAGGUGGGUACAGAGUUUCUGUUUGGAAUGAUAAAAACUUCCGGAAACGGAAAGUAGGAUGGUUGCACAACACCGUAAAUGUACCUAAUGGCACAAACUGUAAAACAUGAAAGUGGUUAAAAUGGUAAAUUUUAUGUUUAUUUUAUCACCAACAGACAAAUAGAUUAUCAAAAACAGACUUUGUUCAAGUUUGAUCAUUGCCUUCCUCACCCACCACACCAAGGACUCCUUGAGUGUUGAAUAGGCCAUGUACACUACGACACCCCAGGUUCCUGGCAUAUUGUAAGGCACAUCUCAAAUAAAUUUAUGGGUUGUUGAGAUUCUUUCUGCCACGUACUCAAAGUAAAUGUUCAGUUUCUUUGAAGAAAAUAGUUCUGUUUCAGAAAGACAUGCUAUUGCUCAAUCAGUGAUGAAAUAGGUAUGAUAUGGAAUAAGAGGCCACACACAUUCUAGAACAUAAAUGUUAAUUAGAAAAGUAAGCUGUCUCUGGUAUUUAAGUGUUCUCACUAUUCGUUGAACAUUCCCUAACAGCACAGAAACACAUGGAAGUAGCUCUAUCACUGACUACCAAAUAGUGAUGACGGUUACUGAUUCCUUUCCAAAAGCAGAGCUGGUGCUUUGGGAAGAGAGAAGUUCAUUAUACUGAUUAGAGGCCCUUGCCCUACCUCCUCAGAGGAUGUUCUCUUGGGUAGAUAUCAAGGCAGACACUCCUGGGCAGAAGCUUUUCAAAUUAAUGACUCAACAACCAAAUGGCAGUGAUCCUAGCAUCUCUGGUGAGAUCAACUGCUUACAUCAAGGCUGCAGAUAAUGAGUCACCUUCCAAAAGCAGGGCUGGAUAAAGUUCAGGAUUGCUGUCGUGGGGCAGAGGUUUGCUUGCCCAUUCAGGCUGAUAUUGUGGAGCACAUGUUAAGGAAGCCAUUCAAAGUGGUUGUACGGCAAGUCAAAAAUCAGAUUCAGAACAUGGGGUGGAAGAAUGGGCUAUUCACUUCAGAGGUUCCACACAACUGCACGCACCCCAAAAUCUCUAUUUUAAAUGACUUGUCUCAGAGUUCCUGCUAUGGCCUGAGGGGAUCAGCAGCAUCUUGGGAGCACUGGGUUGCAGGUUCGAUCCCCAGCCAAGCACAGUGGGUUAAUGAUCCAGUGUUGCUACAGCUACAGCUUUGGUCAUGACUGUGGCUUGGGUCUGAUCCCUAGUCUGGGAAACUCCUUAUGCCACAGGCAGGCCAAAAAUGAAAAAAAGAGAGAAAAAAAGGACUUGUUUCAUUUUAUGUAUCUAAAAGCAGAUAGAUAAUGCCUGUUACCUCACAAAUAUUUCCUCACUCAAUUCUAUGACAGAGGUCCAAUUAUUCUCACUUUGUAGUUAAGGAAACUGGAGCACAAAAAGCUUAAGUAACUUGCUCAAAGUCUCACAACUAGUAGUAAUGCUGGGACUUGAACCCAGGAAGUCUGGAUCCAGAAAUGGUGUUCUUAACUACUCCACUCUCCGUCUCAAUAUAUCUUAAGGGAACUAUUAAAAAAAAUAAGAAGAAGAGGCGAUCCUAUUGUGGCACAGCAGAAAUGAACCCGCCUAGUACCCAUGAGGAUGCAGUUGCGAUCCCUUGCCUCGCUCAGUGGGUCAAGAAUCCAGAGUUGCCAUGAGCUGUUGCGUAGGUUGCAGAUGUGGCUCAGAUCCCACAUUGCUGUGGCUGUGGUGUAGGCCGACAGCUGUGGCUCCAAUUCAACCCCUAGCCUGGGAACUUGCACAUGCUGCAGGCACAGCCCUAAAAAGGAAAAUGAAAAAAAAAAAAAGACUUUUCUUAGGACUUUUUUUUUCCCCUAGAAGGACACUAUCCAUGUCCACAUGUGCUAUGUAAGAGCAUAAUCAGAUCAGGUGUGCUUUAUUCUAAUCUUGGAGAGGGGGGCUCUAUGAAUGAGAAACAUGCCAGGUGGUUUACAAUCAGGCAUGAUCCCACAGCUCUAGAAUGCUAAGAUUCAGCAAAAAAAAAAAAAAAAAAAAGCACAGAGGGUUUGGCAAGACAUAAGAAAGAAAUGUGUUAUUUAUACUGCUAAAGCACCCCUAAGAUUUUGUUUUAAUUCUAUCUUUCAUUUUUUUCCCCUAAUCUAUACCAGAACUUGCCUAGCAUGGGAAACAUAAAUCCUUCAUAAAUACAAGCACAGUAUUCUUAGUAAUAGUGUGCAAGUAAGUCUUUGUUCAAUACCCAAGGGCAAAUAGGUAUUGUUGAAUUGUUAAUUGCCUUAAAAGUCCACAGGUAACUUAUUUACUUGAAUUGUAUUUUCCUGGGGCCAGCCUGGGGUCAACCUGGAAACAAUGAAAAAAAAAAAAAUUGACUUUGAAACUGUUCAGGACAACCAGAUAGGUGAAUUGUAGGAAACCAGGUGGGUAAAAGCAUAAAUUAAUCUGAAAUUAUUUAAAUGUGUUUUCUAAAAGGCAUAGUGUAGUUCCUAACUGCCAACAGGCACCAUUUCAUUAUGCUACAUUACAUCCUGUUUUUCUCAAAAUAUUGGAGAAAUGACAGAUACUAAAAGAAAUUCUUACUUGUGUAUCACAUACGCCAUUUCCAUAAAGCUCUUGCAAAUUCUGGAGAUAUGCAAGGGGAAAAAACAACUUUAAUAAAAUAAUGGAUCAUAUUUGAAUUAAACAUGAUAUUCAAAAUGUUACACUUGGGGAGUUAACAGAAUGUUAUAUGCUGAGAGAGCAAGAGGCAAAAAUGUCCUAUUAUAACCCGUACCCUCCAUAAAUUAAAUCCGAAAACAUUAAAAAUGGUGAUAACAAUGAAAAGGAUUACUUAUGGAAUGAAAAUGGAAAACAGAAACAGAUUAGUGAAGAUAUUUUUCUCUAAAAAUCCCCAAACUGUGCAUCCUAGAGCAGAGGUAAUAAAGAUGGUUAUUUCUAAGAAAUAGAUCCAAAGUGGCUCCAUUCAAUUCACAGCAGGAACAUCUAAAGUAGCAAUUAAUGCAACCACUGGUGUGGAAUUGUUUUCCAAAUGCCAUCCUAUUGGAUGGCUUUUUUUUAUUUUUAUUUUUUUUAAAUGGAAGCAGGGCUCAGAAGUCAAGAUGAAUUUGGGUCAUUUAUUUACUGAACAUAGGUUUUUAAUACCACUGUCCAAUAUUAAUGGAUACAAUAAUAAUACUUGAGGUGAAAUGGAAGGAACCUAUUAAUGACUGUUUACCUCAGGCUACAAGGGUAAUGCUUGAAACUCCUUGAGAUUUGAUCCUGGGAAAUAAAUGUAGGGGCAUUCAUCUCAGUGGGGUGUGGGGACACUAGAAGAAGGGAUGAGUUGGUAUUUGGAAGAUCCAAGUUGAAAUCUCAGACUUUUGGCUGCCAAUAACUGACAUCGAGCAACAAACUUUCCACACCUCCUGUUUCCUGGGAACUCAGUUUGCUUAUUGGAAAGAUAAGGGAAAUAAUGCAGCACCAUGGUUAGGAAUGUGGGCUCAGAUGCAGGGUGCCUGGGUUCAAAUCCCAGUUCCAGAACAUUCUAAUUGUGUCUCUAGGCACAUGAGUUGAGCUUUCUGUGUGUUAUCUGUAAAAAUGUGGAUAAAACAGUACUUAGCACAUAGGAUCAUUGUGAAGGGUUAGCUGAGUUAGAACAUGUACCAUCUUAGAAUAAUGACUUGUCCAUGGUAAGGACUCC